RNAcentral lists this ribosomal RNA (1366 nucleotides) under uncultured Klebsiella sp. RNAcentral's name for it is "bacterial SSU rRNA". It matches the Rfam family "Bacterial small subunit ribosomal RNA", at positions 27 to 1383 of the family's 1533-position model. The record is from RNAcentral. Lineage: Bacteria; Pseudomonadati; Pseudomonadota; Gammaproteobacteria; Enterobacterales; Enterobacteriaceae.
GAUUGAACGCUGGCGGCAGGCCUAACACAUGCAAGUCGAGCGGUAGCACAGAGAGCUUGCUCUCGGGUGACGAGCGGCGGACGGGUGAGUAAUGUCUGGGAAACUGCCUGGUGGAGGGGGAUAACUACUGGAAACGGUAGCUAAUACCGCAUAAUGUCGCAAGACCAAAGUGGGGGACCUUCGGGCCUCAUGCCAUCAGAUGUGCCCAGAUGGGAUUAGCUAGUAGGUGGGGUAACGGCUCACCUAGGCGACGAUCCCUAGCUGGUCUGAGAGGAUGACCAGCCACACUGGAACUGAGACACGGUCCAGACUCCUACGGGAGGCAGCAGUGGGGAAUAUUGCACAAUGGGCGCAAGCCUGAUGCAGCCAUGCCGCGUGUGUGAAGAAGGCCUUCGGGUUGUAAAGCACUUUCAGCGGGGAGGAAGGCGUUAAGGUUAAUAACCUUGGCGAUUGACGUUACCCGCAGAAGAAGCACCGGCUAACUCCGUGCCAGCAGCCGCGGUAAUACGGAGGGUGCAAGCGUUAAUCGGAAUUACUGGGCGUAAAGCGCACGCAGGCGGUCUGUCAAGUCGGAUGUGAAAUCCCCGGGCUCAACCUGGGAACUGCAUUCGAAACUGGCAGGCUAGAGUCUUGUAGAGGGGGGUAGAAUUCCAGGUGUAGCGGUGAAAUGCGUAGAGAUCUGGAGGAUUACCGGUGGCGAAUGCGCGGCCCCCUGGACAAAGACUGACGCUCAGGUGCGAAAGCGUGGGGAGCAAACAGGAUUAGAUACCCUGGUAGUCCACGCCGUAAACGAUGUCGAUUUGGAGGUUGUGCCCUUGAGGCGUGGCUUCCGGAGCUAACGCGUUAAAUCGACCGCCUGGGGAGUACGGCCGCAAGGUUAAAACUCAGAUGAAUUGACGGGGGCCCGCACAAGCGGUGGAGCAUGUGGUUUAAUUCGAUGCAACGCGAAGAACCUUACCUGGUCUUGACAUCCACAGAACUUUCCAGAGAUGGAUUGGUGCCUUCGGGAACUGUGAGACAGGUGCUGCAUGGCUGUCGUCAGCUCGUGUUGUGAAAUGUUGGGUUAAGUCCCGCAACGAGCGCAACCCUUAUCCUUUGUUGCCAGCGGUCCGGCCGGGAACUCAAAGGAGACUGCCAGUGAUAAACUGGAGGAAGGUGGGGAUGACGUCAAGUCAUCAUGGCCCUUACGACCAGGGCUACACACGUGCUACAAUGGCAUAUACAAAGAGAAGCGACCUCGCGAGAGCAAGCGGACCUCAUAAAGUAUGUCGUAGUCCGGAUUGGAGUCUGCAACUCGACUCCAUGAAGUCGGAAUCGCUAGUAAUCGUAGAUCAGAAUGCUACGGUGAAUACGUUCCCGGGCCUUG